Molecule: RNase P RNA, 374 nt
Filed under: uncultured Anaerobiospirillum sp.
Lineage: Bacteria; Pseudomonadati; Pseudomonadota; Gammaproteobacteria; Aeromonadales; Succinivibrionaceae
Description: Bacterial RNase P class A
Rfam family: Bacterial RNase P class A
About the family: Ribonuclease P (RNase P) is a ubiquitous endoribonuclease, found in archaea, bacteria and eukarya as well as chloroplasts and mitochondria. Its best characterised activity is the generation of mature 5'-ends of tRNAs by cleaving the 5'-leader elements of precursor-tRNAs.
Source: RNAcentral
AGUUGACUGGGCAAUCGCUGUCUGAGUACGUGCGCUACGGCAUACGGCUCGGAGGGAGGAAAGUCCGGGCUCUACAGGACAAGGUGCCAGGUAACGCCUGGGAGGCGUGAGCCUACGACCAGUGCAACAGAAAACAUACCGCCGAUGGCCGCUUGCGGCUCAGGUAAGGGUGAAAAGGUGCGGUAAGAGCGCACCGCGUUGCUAGUAAUAGUCAACGGCAUUGUAAACUCCACCUAGAGCAAGAUCGAAUAGGUUCCCAUAUGGUGUGGUCCGCACUCGGGAGCGGGUUGAUCGCUUGAGCCUACGCGCGAGUGUAGGCCUAGAUGAAUGAUUGCUACUCUUUAGAGUACAGAACCCGGCUUACAGGUCAACUC